Molecule: ribosomal RNA, 219 nt
Filed under: uncultured bacterium
Lineage: Bacteria
Description: partial 16S ribosomal RNA
Rfam family: Bacterial small subunit ribosomal RNA
Source: RNAcentral
UAAUGUCUGGGAAACUGCCUGAUGAGGGGGAGUAACUACUGGAAACGGUAGCUAAUACCGCAUAAUGUCGCAAGACCAAAUGGGGGACCUUCGGGCCUCAUGCCAUCAGAUGUGCCCAGAUGGGAUUAGCUAGUAGGUGGGGUAAUGGCUCACCUAGGCGACGAUCCCUAGCUGGUCUGAGAGGAUGACCAGCCACACUGGAACUGAGACACGGUCCAG